GGGCGGUUAGCUCAGUUGGUUAGAGCGUGGUGCUAAUAACGCCAAUAAUAACGCCAAGGUCAUGGGUUCGACCCCCAUACGGGCCA
This is a non-coding RNA of Hymenopellis radicata, 86 nucleotides long. Lineage: Eukaryota; Fungi; Basidiomycota; Agaricomycetes; Agaricales; Physalacriaceae. The record is from the annotation of a GenBank genome assembly.